RNAcentral lists this ribosomal RNA (315 nucleotides) under uncultured eukaryote. Its description in RNAcentral is "partial 18S ribosomal RNA". It matches the Rfam family "Eukaryotic small subunit ribosomal RNA", at positions 1470 to 1796 of the family's 1831-position model. The record is from RNAcentral.
CCCUUAGACGUUCUGGGCCGCACGCGCGCUACACUGACCAGUGCAACAAGCAUCCGUCCUUGGCCGACAGGCUCGGGCAAUCUUUGAACGCUGGUCGUGAUGGGGAUAGACUUUUGCAAUUUUUGUUCUUCAACGAGGAAUUCCUAGUAAACGCAAGUCAUCAACUUGCAUUGAUUACGUCCCUGCCCUUUGUACACACCGCCCGUCGCACCUACCGAUUGAAUGGUCCGGUGAAGCCUCCGGAUUGGCGCGCACCUCGGUGCCGCCGAGAAGUUGGCUAAACCUUACCAUUUAGAGGAAGGUGAAGUCGUAACA